Molecule: ribosomal RNA, 167 nt
Filed under: uncultured bacterium
Lineage: Bacteria
Description: partial 16S ribosomal RNA
Rfam family: Bacterial small subunit ribosomal RNA
Source: RNAcentral
GCUAGUAAUCGCGGAUCAGCAUGCCGCGGUGAAUACGUUCCCGGGCCUUGUACACACCGCCCGUCACACCAUGAGAGUCGGGAACACCCGAAGUCCGUAGUCUGACCGCAAGGGGGACGCGGCCGAAGGUGGGUUCGAUAAUUGGGGUGAAGUCGUAACAAGGUAAC